UCUUGCUGUCUACGGCCCUGGAUGCGCCUGAUCUCAUCUGAUCUUGGAAGUUAAGCAGGGUCGGGCCGGGUUAGCCCUUGGAUGGGAGAAGGGGUCUUGCUUAAU
RNAcentral lists this ribosomal RNA (105 nucleotides) under Fukomys damarensis (Damara mole-rat). Lineage: Eukaryota; Metazoa; Chordata; Mammalia; Rodentia; Bathyergidae. The record is from RNAcentral.